Long non-coding RNA from Penaeus chinensis, 1605 nucleotides. RefSeq lists it as uncharacterized. NCBI's taxonomy places the organism in Eukaryota, Metazoa, Arthropoda, Malacostraca, Decapoda, Penaeidae. The record is from RefSeq and is a predicted model, not a curated record. The transcript is spliced from 2 exons.
UUAUUAUUAUUCCACAAGUCGUGAGCGAUAAAAUACACUUUUGCUUGUUUCAACUCGAGCGAAUAUUAGCUGGAUAGUUCCAAGCAGGGUGGAAACAAAAUGGGAAUUCAAUCUUGCUCUCUACUUUUAUCUGGUGCGCAUUCAAAUUUUAUUUUCCUUGUAAUUGCCAAAUCUUUGAUACUCUAUAUUGAUGUAUUUACGAUAGAAAUACUCAUUUAACGCUUGUUUGACCACUUAGAACUUUUGUUUGUAAAAGGAACCCAAAAAAAGAAAAAAAUACGAAAACGUAUAUUUGAUACUCUUUUUGAUAAUGAAUCUUCAAAAAGUCAUAAUGGCAUAUAGAAAAUCCGAGGUGAAAACGAGGUUGCCAAGCUGACAAGAUGGACGCAAGGCAAUCUGAAAUUGCGAAUAGAGGCCGCAUCAUUGGGUAAGUAAUUUCUCUCACAGUGAAAUAACCAGAGCCGGAUAUCUCCCGUUCGACGGUAAACCGAUGAUUAAGGUGGGAGUGGGGCACCCCAAGCUCGCUCCGGAUGCCCCCUUCACCAAUGCAACCUAGAGCUCCCGCUAACAAGCUGCACGGUGAAGGAAACGACUACGCACCGAUGGGAUUCAAAAGUUAUCAGAGGUUGAAAACACGACAUUGUCAACAUCACCUCCAGAUCACACAGAGCGCACGGAAAGUUCCAUUGUUGGAUGAGAGAUGUAAAGAUGUGACAUACGAAAUAUCUAUGAAACGGCGGGGUGGCCAUGUGAUCUGUAAAAUGUGGGGGUGGAUUUUUAUGCAUGAUGUUGGUGAACUCGCCGGAGAUAAAUAUAUUGAAUUGUUAGAAGAAAGAUUCCUCCAAUCAGCACGCUGCUAUGCCUUGGCCCUUUCCAGAAACCAUUAUUUUCGUGAAGGAUAACUGCCCAAUACGCACGUCAAGGACAGAUACGAAGUGGUUUGGUGACCAAAACCACAAGGAAGUCCUUCCGCGACCAAAACCACAAGGAAGUCCUUCCGCGACCAAAAUCACAAGGAAGUCCUUCCGCGACCAAAACCACAAGGAAGUCCUUCCGCGACCAAAACCACAAGGAAGUCCUUCCGCGACCAAAACCACAAGGAAGUCCUUCCGCGACCAAAAUCACAAGGAAGUCCUUCCGCGACCAAAACCACAAGGAAGUCCUUCCGCGACCAAAAUCACAAGGAAGUCCUUCCGCGACUAAAACCACAAGGAAGUCCUUCCGCGACCAAAACCACAAGGAAGUCCUUCCGCGACCAAAACCACAAGGAAGUCCUUCCGCGAACAAAACCACAAGGAAGUCCUUCCGCGACCAAAACCACAAGGAAGUCCUUCCGCGGCCGAGCAAACCCGAUGAAAAAUGUUGAGGCGAAUAUUGUCAUUGUUUGGGAAACGGCUUAUGAAAGAACCUCGCAAUAGCUAAUAGAUCAUGCUAAAGGGGAAAGGAAAGUAUUAUGGAGGAAACCGGAACAUCACAUUAGCACGUCACAAGGUUUUGCAUAACCAUAGAUUGUUCUUAUUAUACGUAUGGCUGCUCCCAGUAUUAGUCUUUCUUUUCUACAUUGUUACCGUUUUUCUUUUUACAAAUAAACCGAUAGUAAAAAUA